GCCGGUUCAACCCCACGGAUAUCCGCCUCCCUCAGAUCGAAUCCCGGAGUGGCAGCUUCAAGCUCUCUAGCCCCAAGGAAGCUCCACUCAGCCCC
Molecule: non-coding RNA, 95 nt
Filed under: Chattonella subsalsa
Lineage: Eukaryota; Raphidophyceae; Chattonellales; Chattonellaceae
Source: RNAcentral